Molecule: non-coding RNA, 96 nt
Organism: Arthrobacter agilis
Lineage: Bacteria; Bacillati; Actinomycetota; Actinomycetes; Micrococcales; Micrococcaceae
Source: Rfam
CCCGGCCCCUCAUGUGGUGUCAUCCUGUGAACUCCCCCAGGACCGGAAGGUAGCAAGGGUAAGCGGGCUCUGGCAGGUGCAUGGGGGGUCUUCACU